CCAGACUCCUACGGGAGGCAGCAGUGGGGAAUAUUGGACAAUGGGGGGAACCCUGAUCCAGCGACGCCGCGCGAGUGAAGAAGUAUUUCGGUAUGUAAAGCUCUAUCAGCAGGGAAGAAAGAAAUGACGGUACCUGACUAAGAAGCCCCGGCUAACUACGUGCCAGCAGCCGCGAUAAUACGUAGGGGGCAAGCGUUAUCCGGAUUUACUGGGUGUAAAGGGAGCGUAGACGGGGAUGCAAGUUGGGUGUCAAAACUACCGGCUCAACUGGUAGUCGCACUCAAAACUGCAGCUCUUGAGUGAAGUAGAGGCAGGCGGAAUUCCUAGUGUAGCGGUGAAAUGCGUAGAUAUUAGGAGGAACACCAGUGGCGAAGGCGGUCUGCUGGACAGCAACUGACGCUGAGGCGCGAAAGCGUGGGGAGCAAACAGGAUUAGAUACCCGGGUAG
This 447-nucleotide ribosomal RNA is filed under the name uncultured bacterium. RNAcentral describes it as "bacterial SSU rRNA". It matches the Rfam family "Bacterial small subunit ribosomal RNA", at positions 331 to 793 of the family's 1533-position model. The record is from RNAcentral.